This 488-nucleotide ribosomal RNA is filed under the name uncultured bacterium. RNAcentral's name for it is "bacterial SSU rRNA". It matches the Rfam family "Bacterial small subunit ribosomal RNA", at positions 30 to 507 of the family's 1533-position model. The record is from RNAcentral.
AUUGAACGCUGGCGGCAUGCCUAACACAUGCAAGUCGAACGGUAACGCGGAGAGCUUGCUCUCUGGCGACGAGUGGCGGACGGGUGAGUAAUACUUAGGAAUCUGCCCAGUAGUGGGGGACAACAUUCGGAAACGGAUGCUAAUACCGCAUACGCACUACGGUGGAAAGUGGGGGACCUUCGGGCCUCACGCUAUUGGAUGAGCCUAAGUCGGAUUAGCUUGUUGGUGAGGUAACGGCUCACCAAGGCGACGAUCCGUAGCUGGUCUGAGAGGACGAUCAGCCACACUGGGACUGAGACACGGCCCAGACUCCUACGGGAGGCAGCAGUGGGGAAUAUUGGACAAUGGGCGCAAGCCUGAUCCAGCAAUGCCGCGUGUGUGAAGAAGGCCUGCGGGUUGUAAAGCACUUUCAGUAGAGAAGAAAAGCCUAGGGUUAAUACCCCUGAGUCUUGACGUAACCUACAGAAGAAGCACCGGCUAACUCCGUG